UCUAAUCUAUACCCAAUACCCAUAUAAUACUCUAAUCUCUACCUUCUACUUAUAUUUUUGACAACCAGUAUUUAUCAUUGCUUUUCAUUGCUUCUGCAGUCACUUGGAUCGUUGACUUGAGGGGGGGGGGGGGUUGCUAUUUCACAUGACUUUCAACGUAGUUCAUUAGUUACUAUCAUUCACAGUUCAAGAUGUGUUAGUCAUUAACUGUGUUACUUCAAGAUGCUACAAGACCUGCACGUCCCGAUUCUCUUUUCCUGCCUGUACUUGGUCAUCCAAGCUGCAGAUGUGAUUCAGGAUCCAACAUUUAUAGUGUCUUCUCCUAUGAAAAAUAUCUCUGUGACCUGCAAGCACGAUGACAGCAACAAAUACACAAAAAGUUGGUACCGACAAGAAAAGACGAAAGGGCUCAUCCUUAUGGGCUACACAAACUAUGAAGGAAAAGCUUCAAUGGAGCCUGGGUUCACUGACAGUAGAAUAGAAAUGAAACCUGAAAGCAGCCAAAAAAGUAUCCUGACCAUCACUGAAGUCUCUGCCCAAGACACCGCAGUUUAUUUUUGUGCCAGCAGUGCCAGCAGUGCACACAGCAAGAUAAUCAUGGAGAAAGAGUGUCUAAAACCGGGAAGCUCUGACUCCUCCCUGACAUACAAGCCGUUAUAAACCACAGCUAGGCCUGAGAUCGCAUCCUAAUUCCUGGUAAUGUAGAAGCAAUGCAUUCAUAAGUAAUAAAACCAUCGACCGCAAGCAUCCAUUGGCAUGCAAAGCAUACAGCUGCGGGAUAGAUAUUUCUAUAAAGGGGCUUAGAACAUCUUGUAUUCUUGAAAGUGUACACUAGAGGGAGCUAUGUGUAUCAUAAUGCACAUGGAAGAAGAAUGAACUGAAAGCUACAUUAUGUCAGUCACCGUUUCCAAAAUCGCUUCCAAUCUCAUUUUUUUCAAAGAUGCUUUACAGCAGCCGGGGGGCAUUAAACAUGAGGUUCUGCAGCAGCUAUUGUGAAAGACUGUAAGUUGCUUCAGAAUUUGCACUCCAUAAGGCACAUGGCUCGAGCCGCUGACAUAAAGGUCUGAUGUGAUUUACUGUAGAUAACGGAAAGGACAUUAUCCGUCAACACUGUCGGAUUGAAAUGCGCUAAAUCUCUAUAAGUAUGCAAUGUUUUGCUGAGGGGAUCGACUGUUAUAGAAAAAAAAAUCACAGGAAGCGAACAACAUAAAAACAACAAGAAAGGGGUAGAAAUCCUCCAAAGCUACGAACCUGGAGCCUUAGAGUGAAAUAUAUUACCAGGAAUGAGGCGGUCCUCAAACAUGUAAUCACCAUAUCCAUGAGAUAGAUAUUAAAUAGAUCUGAGAUAGAGAGAUAGACAUGAGAUAGAUAGAUAGAUAGAUAGAUAGAUAGAUAAUUAGAGAUAGAUAGAUAAAUAUGAGAUAAAGAGAUAGAUACUGU
Bufo gargarizans (Asiatic toad) is the source of this 1440-nucleotide non-coding RNA. NCBI's taxonomy places the organism in Eukaryota, Metazoa, Chordata, Amphibia, Anura, Bufonidae. The record is from the annotation of a RefSeq genome assembly.